CCAUAUCAAUAAGCGGAGGAAAAGAAACCAACAGGGAUUGCCUCAGUAACGGCGAGUGAAGCGGCAACAGCUCAAAUUUGAAAUCUGGCCCUAGGCCCGAGUUGUAAUUUGCAGAGGAUGCUUUUGGUGCGGUGCCUUCCAAGUUCCCUAGAACGGGACGCCAGAGAGGGUGAGAGCCCCGUACAGUUGGACACCAAGCCUUUGUAAAGCUCCUUCGACGAGUCGAGUAGUUUGGGAAUGCUGCUCAAAAUGGGAGGUAUAUUUCUUCUAAAGCUAAAUACCGGCCAGAGACCGAUAGCGCACAAGUAGAGUGAUCGAAAGAUGAAAAGCACUUUGAAAAGAGGGUUAAACAGCACGUGAAAUUGUUAAAAGGGAAGCGCUUGUGACCAGACUUGCGUCCGGUGAAUCACCCAGCUCUCGCGGCUGGGGCACUUCGCCGGCUCAGGCCAGCAUCAGCUCGCUGUCGGGGACAAAAGCUUCAGGAACGUAGCUCUCUUCGGGGAGUGUUAUAGCCUGUUGCACAAUACCCUUCGGCGGGCUGAGGUACGCGCUCCGCAAGGAUGCUGGCAUAAUGGUCAUCAGCGACCCGUCUUGAAACACGGACCAAGGAGUCAACCUUAUGUGCGAGUGUUCGGGUGUCAAACCCCUACGCGUAAUGAAAGUGAACGCAGGUGAGAGCUUCGGCGCAUCAUCGACCGAUCCUGAUGUUCUCGGAUGGAUUUGAGUAAGAGCAUAUAGGGUUGGACCCGAAAGAAGGUGAACUAUGCGUGUAUAGGGUGAAGCCAGAGGAAACUCUGGUGGAGGCUCGCAGCGGUUCUGACGUGCAAAUCGAUCGUCAAAUAUGCGCAUGGGGGCGAAAGACUAAUUGAACCUUCUAGUAGCUGGUUCGC
This 890-nucleotide ribosomal RNA is filed under the name Colletotrichum tropicale. RNAcentral describes it as "LSU rRNA". It matches the Rfam family "Eukaryotic large subunit ribosomal RNA", at positions 38 to 959 of the family's 3401-position model. The record is from RNAcentral. Lineage: Eukaryota; Fungi; Ascomycota; Sordariomycetes; Glomerellales; Glomerellaceae.